This 205-nucleotide unclassified non-coding RNA is filed under the name Hevea brasiliensis (rubber tree). Lineage: Eukaryota; Viridiplantae; Streptophyta; Magnoliopsida; Malpighiales; Euphorbiaceae. The record is from RNAcentral.
AGUGGACGAUCAGUUUCUACAUACACUGCAAUUCUUUCUCAAAGAGUACUCUCAAACUCCGAGCUAGUAGAGUUAAAUCGAAACGAAGAAUAGGUCGGUGGUACAAUGAGCCGACCAACUACACGAAGCAAAAAUAAAAGACACAGACAAGGGGACAAUGUUAAUAUCACUUCUGAAAUAAUGAGGAAAAUUCAUGCAACUGGUG